GACGAACCGUGCGACCGUUGUUCGGAAUCACUGGGCUUAAAGGGCGCGUAGGCGGGCAGGCAAGUCAGGGGUGAAAUCCCACGGCUCAACCGUGGAAGUGCCUUUGAUACUGCCGGUCUUGAGGGAGGUAGGGGCGUGCGGAACUUCCGGUGGAGCGGUGAAAUGCGUAGAUAUCGGAAGGAACACCGGUGGCGAAAGCGGCGCGCUGGACCUCUUCUGACGCUGAGGCGCGAAAGCCAGGGGAGCAAACGGG
This 253-nucleotide ribosomal RNA is filed under the name uncultured bacterium. Its description in RNAcentral is "partial 16S ribosomal RNA". It matches the Rfam family "Bacterial small subunit ribosomal RNA", at positions 524 to 776 of the family's 1533-position model. The record is from RNAcentral.